UCUAAUAUGGCAGACUAAUGUAUUGGUUUUAAACACCAAAUAUAAAGUUUAAACUUUUUUUAGAA
RNAcentral lists this transfer RNA (65 nucleotides) under Coleoptera sp. 1 AH-2016. RNAcentral's name for it is "tRNA-Leu". It matches the Rfam family "tRNA". Rfam says of the family: Transfer RNA (tRNA) molecules are approximately 80 nucleotides in length. The record is from RNAcentral. Lineage: Eukaryota; Metazoa; Arthropoda; Insecta; Coleoptera.